GACGAACGCUGGCGGCGUGCCUAAUACAUGCAAGUUGAGCGCUGAAGGUUGGUACUUGUCCCGACUGGAUGAGCAGCGAACGGGUGAGUAACGCGUGGGGAAUCUGCCUUUGAGCGGGGGACAACAUUUGGAAACGAAUGCUAAUACCGCAUAAAAACUUUAAACACAAGUUUUAAGUUUGAAAGAUGCAAUUGCAUCACUCAAAGAUGAUCCCGCGUUGUAUUAGCUAGUUGGUGAGGUAAAGGCUCACCAAGGCGAUGAUACAUAGCCGACCUGAGAGGGUGAUCGGCCACAUUGGGACUGAGACACGCCCCAAACGCCUACGGGAGGCAGCAGGAGGGAAUCGUCGGCAAUGGACGAAAGUCUGACCGAGCAACGCCGCGUGAGUGAAGAAGGUUGUCGGAUCGUAAAACUCGGUUGGUAGAGAAGAACGUUGGUGAGAGUGGAAAGCUCAUCAAGUGACGGUAACUACCCAGAAAGGGACGGCUAACUACGUG
This 497-nucleotide ribosomal RNA is filed under the name uncultured bacterium. RNAcentral describes it as "partial 16S ribosomal RNA". It matches the Rfam family "Bacterial small subunit ribosomal RNA", at positions 28 to 507 of the family's 1533-position model. The record is from RNAcentral.